Molecule: ribosomal RNA, 439 nt
Filed under: uncultured bacterium
Lineage: Bacteria
Description: partial 16S ribosomal RNA
Rfam family: Bacterial small subunit ribosomal RNA
Source: RNAcentral
CCUACGGGUGGCAGCAGUGGGGAAUAUUGCACAAUGGGCGAAAGCCUGAUGCAGCAACGCCGCGUGAGCGAUGAAGGCCUUCGGGUCGUAAAGCUCUGUCCUCAAGGAAGAUAAUAACGGUACUUGAGGGGGAACCCCCGGCAAACUACUUGUCAGCAGCCGCGGUAAUACUGCGGGGCCUAGCGUUAUCGGGAAUGACUGGGCGUAACGGUUUCGUGGGUGGUUUUUUAAAUAACAGGUGAAAGGCUAGGUCUAAACCGGAGGUAGCAUUUGAAACUGGCGAACUUGAGUGCAGGAGAGGAGAGUGGAAUUCCAAGUGUAGCGGUGAAAUGCGCAGAGAUAAGGAGGAACACCAGUGGCGAAGGCGGCUUUCUGGUCUGUAACUGACACUGAGGUGCGAAAGCGUGGGGAGCAAACAGGAUUAGAUACCCGUGUAGUC